Molecule: unclassified non-coding RNA, 338 nt
Filed under: soil metagenome
Description: partial contains 5.8S ribosomal RNA, internal transcribed spacer 2, and large subunit ribosomal RNA
Rfam family: 5.8S ribosomal RNA (bases 1-120)
Source: RNAcentral
GAUGAAGAACGUAGCGAAAUGCGAUAAGUAGUGUGAAUUGCAGAAUUCAGUGAAUCAUCGAAUCUUUGAACGCACAUUGCGCCCCUUGGUAUUCCAUGGGGCAUGCCUGUUCGAGCGUCAUUUGUACCUUCAAGCCUUGCUUGGUGUUGGGUGUUUGUCUCGCCUCUGCGCGCAGACUCGCCUCAAAACAAUUGGCAGCCGGCGUAUUGAUUUCGGAGCGCAGUACAUCUCGCGCUUUGCACUCAGAACGACGACGUCCAAAAGUACAUUUUUUACACUCUUGACCUCGGAUCAGGUAGGGAUACCCGCUGAACUUAAGCAUAUCAAUAAGCGGAGGA